GGAAGAAAACCCUAGAAAGGGUGUGGGAGCUCAUUCGGGAAUGGGGGCAUCAUAUGCCAAAAAAUAUAUGAGGCCUCGACCAGAAAGGCAACCCGAAUUUCUAGGGUUUUCUCAACCCGACCCGACCCAUCUCGACCCGACCCGGAAUGAACCAAAUCAGGCAACCCGACCCGACCCAAUGAUCCAUGGUCUUCAUGGGCUGGACCUCUCCGCUGGGCCAAGCCCAUUCUUCACUCAAGCCCAGCAGGCCCAUUCUCCAAUCAAGCCCAGCAGGCCCA
Molecule: long non-coding RNA, 278 nt
Filed under: Ricinus communis (castor bean)
Lineage: Eukaryota; Viridiplantae; Streptophyta; Magnoliopsida; Malpighiales; Euphorbiaceae
Description: long non-coding RNA (RCOM_LNC002704)
Source: RNAcentral